CAUCAACUAUAAAAGGAAAUCAAAGCCUUAAAGGCUGUAAAAGCAAUUGCUGUCAUGUUAAUGUUUGGGGACUUUUAUUUUUCAUCCACAUAUAUAUAAUAAUUAAACCUGACAUGAGUGUUGUCUAGUUAGAAGUAAGAAGGUUUUAACUUUAUAUAAAUAAAAGACUUUAGCAGAAAGUCAUUUUUAAUAUGUUUUAUAUUUCACAAGGAGACAACACGUUUACCAGGCUAAAGUUGGGGUCAAAUAUACAUGUGCUGAAACAUAUAACUCAAAAAGAAAUCAUCAUGGAUUAUCCCUGGUAGUGUUGUAACUGGGCAAUAAUUUCCUUUAUUGAUUUAAUUUUAACAAUUUUCAUUAUUAAUUUAUAUUUAACCAUUAACACAAAUGAUUAAGUUAAAACAUUUCAACUUUCCAGACGCAAAUGUUAAAAAACGGGAAAGAAAUAAAAUAUCUUACAAGACAUAAACAUGUAAAGAAUAAAUAUAUAUUUCAGCUUAAUAAAAAUAUUUUCAUAAUGGUACUUUGUCAUCAUUUUUAAAACUAAGUUCCAAACAUUAUUGCUCAGUUGAUAUACAUGUAUGUCCUUCUGAUGCGGUACGAGC
RNAcentral lists this long non-coding RNA (605 nucleotides) under Mytilus galloprovincialis (Mediterranean mussel). Lineage: Eukaryota; Metazoa; Mollusca; Bivalvia; Mytilida; Mytilidae. The record is from RNAcentral.